UACGGGAGGCAGCAGUGGGGAAUAUUGCACAAUGGGCGCAAGCCUGAUGCAGCCAUGCCGCGUGUAUGAAGAAGGCCUUCGGGUUGUAAAGUACUUUCAGUCGUGAGGAAGGUGUUAAGGUUAAUAACCUUAGCAAUUGACGUUAGCGACAGAAGAAGCACCGGCUAACUCCGUGCCAGCAGCCGCGGUAAUACGGAGGGUGCGAGCGUUAAUCGGAAUUACUGGGCGUAAAGGGCACGCAGGCGGUUAAUUAAGUUGGAUGUGAAAUCCCCGGGCUUAACCUGGGAAUGGCAUUCAAGACUGGUUAGCUAGAGUCUUGUAGAGGGGGUAGAAUUCCGAUGUGUAGCGGUGAAAUGCGUAGAGAUGUGGAGGAAUACCGGUGGCGAAGGCGGCCCCUGGACAAAGACUGACGCUCAUGGUGCGAAAGCGUGGGGAGCAAAC
This 441-nucleotide ribosomal RNA is filed under the name uncultured bacterium. Its description in RNAcentral is "bacterial SSU rRNA". It matches the Rfam family "Bacterial small subunit ribosomal RNA", at positions 340 to 773 of the family's 1533-position model. The record is from RNAcentral.